GCAGAGCCAUGGCCCUCUUCUUUGUUCUCUGCUGGAUCCAAGAGUCGGGGGUCUCCCUAUGUUUCCCAGGCUGGCCUCGAACUCCUGACCUCAAGUGAUCCUCCCACCUCAGCCUCCCCGAGUGCUGGGAUUAAAGACGUGAGCCACGGCACCUGGCCUGAAUUUUCCUCAAAUUCAAAAAAUCCUGAUGAAGGUUUGGCUAAAAUCUUUGAUGAAAUUGUGCUCCAAGUGUUUUCCAAGGUUCCGUAUGACCCAUCAUUUGAUGAAACAAGAACAGCAGUCAGAUCCAUUACAAAGAGAGACACACAAAAAAGCUAUUCCCAACAGAAGAGCUUGAACAAUGCUGCAUUUGCAUCAGGUUCAAAUGAGCGAGAGGAACAUUUGGCUAAAAUAUUUGAUGAAAUUCUACUGCAGGUGUUUCCAAAGUUUCCGUAUGACCCAUCAUUUAACGAAGCAACAGCAGUCAGAUCCAUUACAAAGACAGACAUGAGAAAAGGAACCAGCAUUGCUUGGAAUUCUCCUAAACCAGAAUAUUUCCUUGGCAGUGUGGACAAAAUUCCUGAUAAAGAUCACCUUUCAGAGGAGAAGAAUUUUAAAGAAUCCUGUCUGUUCGACAGGGAUUUAAGAGAGCAGUUAACUACUAUAGAUAAAGAAACACUUCAAGGAGCAGCUAAACCAGAUGCUCACUUUAGGACUAUGCCCUGCGGGCAGCUUCUGCACUUCCUGCAGAGGAACAC
Molecule: unclassified non-coding RNA, 737 nt
Filed under: Homo sapiens (human)
Lineage: Eukaryota; Metazoa; Chordata; Mammalia; Primates; Hominidae
Description: chromosome 2 open reading frame 92 (ENSG00000291598.1)
Source: RNAcentral